This 446-nucleotide ribosomal RNA is filed under the name uncultured bacterium. RNAcentral's name for it is "partial 16S ribosomal RNA". It matches the Rfam family "Bacterial small subunit ribosomal RNA", at positions 338 to 795 of the family's 1533-position model. The record is from RNAcentral.
CCUACGGGUGGCAGCAGUCGAGAAUCAUUCACAAUGGGGGCAACCCUGAUGGUGCGACGCCGCGUGGGGGAAUGAAGGUCUUCGGUUUGUAAAUUCCUGUCAUGUGGGAGCAAAUUAAAAAGAUAGUACCACAAGAGGAAGAGACGGCUAACUCUGUGCCAGCAGCCGCGGUAAUACAGAGGUCUCAAGCGUUGUUCGGAAUCACUGGGGGUAAAGCGUGCGUAGGCUGUUUCGUAAGUCGUGUGUGAAAGGCGCGGGCUCAACCCGCGGACGGCACAUGAUACUGCGAGACUAGAGUAAUGGAGGGGGAAACGGAAUUCUCGGUGUAGCAGUGAAAUGCGUAGAUAUCGGGAGGAACACUCGUGGCGAAGGCGGGUUCCUGGACAUUAACUGACGCUGAGGCACGAAGGCCAGGGGAGCGAAAGGGAUUAGAUACCCCAGUAGUC